RNAcentral lists this ribosomal RNA (500 nucleotides) under uncultured bacterium. RNAcentral's name for it is "bacterial SSU rRNA". It matches the Rfam family "Bacterial small subunit ribosomal RNA", at positions 975 to 1482 of the family's 1533-position model. The record is from RNAcentral.
CAGGGCUUGACAUACAGUUGAAUAUACCAGAGAUGGUAUAGUCCUUCGGGACAGCUGUACAGGUGGUGCAUGGUUGUCGUCAGCUCGUGUCGUGAGAUGUUGGGUUAAGUCCCGCAACGAGCGCAACCCUUGUCCCUAGUUGCUACGCAAGGGCACUCUAGGGAGACUGCCGGUGACAAACCGGAGGAAGGUGGGGAUGACGUCAAGUCCUCAUGGCCCUUAUGGGUAGGGCUUCACACGUCAUACAAUGGCCGGUACAGAGGGUUGCCAAAGCGCGAGCUGGAGCCAAUCCCAGAAAGCCGGUCGUAGUCCGGAUUGCAGUCUGCAACUCGACUGCAUGAAGUCGGAAUCGCUAGUAAUCGCGGAUCAGCAUGCCGCGGUGAAUACGUUCCCGGGUCUUGUACACACCGCCCGUCACACCAUGGGAGUGGGGUGAACCAGAAGUAGGUAGGCUAACCGCAAGGGGGCCGCUUACCACGGUCUGCUUCAUGACUGGGGUG